Molecule: long non-coding RNA, 856 nt
Filed under: Homo sapiens (human)
Lineage: Eukaryota; Metazoa; Chordata; Mammalia; Primates; Hominidae
Description: HSALNT0309286
Source: RNAcentral
AGACUUUUUGCUGUACUUGCUAUUGGGCAAAAUCCUGUCUGCUACCUGGUAUUCAUGUAGAGUAAACUGCAAUGUGGAAACAGAUGGUAUGACCAAGUGGGAGAGAGACUCUGUCUGCAAAACUGGGAGAGCUUCACUCUGACUGGGGGUGGAAGAGGAAUGAACAAGUCCACCCCAGCGUAAAAAUAAGAUGAAAAUAUAAAAGAAUGUCAGUGUUGAAGGUUACUCCUUUUGAUUUUGCCAAUAUCCCGGAACCAUGUGAGCACAUGAACAUUCCAAAGAAGAAGAUACCUCCAGGUUCUUCAGAUGAGUCUCACUCUGUUGCCCAGGCUGGAAUACACUGGCACCGUCUCAGCUCACUGCAACCUCCGACUCCCUGGUUCAAGCGAUUCUCCUGCCUCAGCCUCCCAAGUAGCUGGGAUUACAGGCUAUAAAAGUAUUUACAGAGGAGAGGGAAAGAGAGCACAGUGGAGAGAUGCCUUGGGAGAGAGCUGUUACUGGCCAUGGUGUCAUUCUUCUUCCACAGGGAGAAGCAGAUCCAAACUGAGAAGGGAGAAGAUGUGAUAGUUGAUAUCACAACAAGCUUGAGUUUUGAUUAAUAUCUUGGACAGGACAUUCUAUGUUCCAAAUAGAGAUUGUGUGUUACAAAGUGACUGCAGGACCAAAAAUGAGUAGCAAAUUCAUGAACCUCUUAGAUUUUUUUAAUUUAGGACAUGAUGAGAUUACUGCCAGUGACUCAACUUUUAAAAUACAAGGAAUAACUAAAUAAAUAAAGUAAAAUUGCACUUUUAAUUGUAUUUUGAAGACAUCAUGAGCUGUGAUUCAUUCACUUCAUCUCAUAGAACUUCUGCUGGUG